UUGUCACUAUGGUCCCAUAGCCACUCAGGUUGUGUAACUGAUGCACAAUGCAUGGAUGAGUUUGUCUGAACAGGAAUGUUUCCACAAGCGUGGAGUGGAGAGUAAUGGGUCAUUAUGAGCACUGAACCAGGACAACAACAUGUGACUGUGCUGCUGUGCUUCUUGUCACAUGCACCGAAUACAACAGAGCGCCUGAGUGGCGCAGAGGGCUAAGGCACUGUGUCUCAGUGCAAGAGGCGUCACUGCAGUACCUGGUUCGAAUCCAAGCUGCAUCACAUCUGGCCGUGACUGGGAGUCCCAUAGGGCGGUGCACAGUUGGACCAGCGUUGUCUGGGGGAAUUGAACCGUGGACCGGUCGACCAGAAGCACCAUGACCAGUGUUAACUCCCCCGCCUGCCUCUUGGCUCGUAACCAGUUCUAUAGAAACACAACAAGCCCUACAGAGAGUAUAAAGCCUACUGCAGUCGACAGCCUCUCUGAUUGGCCGAUGCUACAAGUACUGGUCUGGGUGACCAUGUCAACACCAGCAGGGUUCCCAGGAGCAGGGGGGGAUCUCUAAAGGAUGGUGGGUCAGUGUGGUUCUGGGGAGCCCCAAACCAUACACCACCCCAGUCCAGCCCCCCCAGCCCAGAGCACUCGCCCAGUGCUCCCGUCGAGCACCCCGGUCCAGCGCCCCCCAGUCCAGCACCCCGGUCCAGCUCCCCAGUCCAGCACCCUGGUCCAGCGCCCCAGCCAACAGAACGGUCCAGUAGAGACACACCACCACCACCAAUCAACAGGUUGAAACACACAGAGGGAAAGAGUCCAAGAGGAAGACGAGGGAGAAGACAUCUUGCUCUCUGUUCUGUCCUCUCAGCACAGAAAUAUGGACUUGAUCAAGCCGACCGGUGUUGGACAUGUUUUUACAUUUUGCGUCACUCCCUAUCUUACCCCGACUCCUAUUUUUUGAAGGUAGAAAGAAGAGUGAGGGGGAAAAAAGAGGCAAUUUCUGCAAGCGCUCUCUAAAACAGACUUCGGCCUUCAUUCAAUCUCUAUUCGCUGAAGCCUCUCUAAAACAGACUUCAGCCUUCAUUCAAUCUCUAUUCGCUGAAGCCUCUCUAAAACAGACUUCAGCCUUCAUUCAAUCUCUAUUCGCUGAAGCCUCUCUAAAACAGACUUCAGCCUUCAUUCAAUCUCUAUUCGCUGAAGCCUCUCUAAAACAGACUUCAGCCUUCAUUCAAUCUCUAUUCGCUGAAGCCUCUCUAAAACAGACUUCGGCCUUCAUUCAAUCUCUAUUCGCUGAAGCCUCUCUAAAACAGACUUCAGCCUUCAUUCAAUCUCUAUUCGCUGAAGCCUCUCUAAAACAGACUUCGGCCUUCAUUCAAUCUCUAUUCGCUGAAGCCUUACAGAUUACGCGCUAUCUAAAUUUAAAGGUAAUUUCUGAUUGAGUCGACAUAUGACAGGGUUUACCGUAAAUGCAGUCUCCACUAACAUUUGGCUUUUAAAUUUCAAUCAUGCCAUAACGCUGAACUUCUGCGAUGUGGAUUGAAAAGACCCCCCUGUAUAUUAUUACAUACAUUGGUAUAAGAUAUGAAUUCAAUCAAACACACAGUCCAGUUAUACCCCCUCUGCUCAUACUCUCCCCUCCCUUCCUUUCUUCGUUUCAUAACAUAACUGCAGCACAACUGAAGGAACAAGAUGUUCCCUUUUCUCCUGAUACUGGCUGGUUGCCAGGCAGCAAUAUGGGAACAUUCAUGCAUGAGUUGAAUAAAACAGCUGCCUGAUGCCUGGUUCAGAGCUAGAGAGAGACAGGCCGACAGGCAGCAGAAACCUGUUACCUUGUUCAGAGCUAGAGAGACAGGCUGAUUCUCUCCCUCCCUUUCUCUCUCUGUGAGAAGGAUGUACCCACUCACACACAACUACCCAGUGACCUGGAAAAACUGCUGCUCAGUCUAAAGAUAAAAGCACUUCAGUAACA
Salvelinus namaycush (lake trout) is the source of this 1957-nucleotide long non-coding RNA. RefSeq lists it as uncharacterized. The transcript has 5 exons. NCBI's taxonomy places the organism in Eukaryota, Metazoa, Chordata, Actinopteri, Salmoniformes, Salmonidae. The record is from RefSeq and is a predicted model, not a curated record.